This 51-nucleotide ribosomal RNA is filed under the name Diaporthe caulivora. RNAcentral's name for it is "partial small subunit ribosomal RNA". Lineage: Eukaryota; Fungi; Ascomycota; Sordariomycetes; Diaporthales; Diaporthaceae. The record is from RNAcentral.
CUAAUAGUUUCUAAAAUGAUUUCAGUUUGGGAGGUAUUCCUGCCUUCUUCG